GGGGUCGCUCCGGUUCCGUUUCGGAGCCGGGGAGGAAAGUCCGAGCUCCACCAGGCAGGGUGCUGGGUAACUCCCAGGAGGGGUGACCCUACGGAAAGUGCCACAGAAACAUACCGCCCUUCGCUAGAAGGGUAAGGGUGAAAUGGUGAGGUAAGAGCUUACCAGCGGCUGGGUGACCAGUCGGCUGGGCAAACCCCACCCGGAGCAAGACCAAAUAGAGGGUAAAGGGACGCCUGGCCCUAGCCCCGGGUUGGUCGCUUGACCUUGAUGGUAACAUCAAGGCUAGAUGGAUGGCCACCGCCCCGACUUUAUCGGGGUACAGAACUCGGCUUAUAGGUCUACUUGGCCC
Molecule: RNase P RNA, 349 nt
Filed under: Chloroflexota bacterium
Lineage: Bacteria; Bacillati; Chloroflexota
Description: Chloroflexi bacterium (freshwater metagenome) partial RNase P RNA component class A
Rfam family: Bacterial RNase P class A
About the family: Ribonuclease P (RNase P) is a ubiquitous endoribonuclease, found in archaea, bacteria and eukarya as well as chloroplasts and mitochondria.
Source: RNAcentral